This 252-nucleotide ribosomal RNA is filed under the name uncultured bacterium. RNAcentral's name for it is "partial 16S ribosomal RNA". It matches the Rfam family "Bacterial small subunit ribosomal RNA", at positions 524 to 776 of the family's 1533-position model. The record is from RNAcentral.
UACGGAGGAUGCGAGCGUUGUCCGGAUUUAUUGGGUUUAAAGGGUGCAUAGGCGGACUGUCAAGUCAGCGGUAAAAUUGAGAGGCUCAACCUCUUCCCGCCGUUGAAACUGGUGGUCUUGAGUGGAUGAGAAGUACGCGGAAUGCGUGGUGUAGCGGUGAAAUGCAUAGAUAUCACGCAGAACUCCGAUUGCGAAGGCAGCGUACCGGCAUCCAACUGACGCUGAGGCACGAAAGCGUGGGGAUCAAACAGG